RNAcentral lists this ribosomal RNA (1017 nucleotides) under Triticum aestivum (bread wheat). RNAcentral's name for it is "partial small subunit ribosomal RNA". Lineage: Eukaryota; Viridiplantae; Streptophyta; Magnoliopsida; Poales; Poaceae. The record is from RNAcentral.
AUGUUGCAAGCAAAAAUGAUCGUGUACUCAUCUAAAAGCUCAAAGGGAACGUUGUUUCCUGUACGAUCAAUGCUUGUCUUCUUCAUUGCACUAUUUGGUUUGUAUGCCUGCUACUUCUCCUUCACUCAAAUAGCCUUAGAAAAUGAAGAAGAAAUGAACGGAGCAGAAGAACGAACAAACGUUCUAUGCAAAAGACCUUCAGAAAUUCCAUAUGAUCAGAUGCAGUAUGUGCACUUUCCAAGACCUAUGAGUUACGACAGGGGAGAAUGCGCAUGUACCCCGGUCCGUUUCCUCGUCAUUAUAUCUAUGCAAAGAUCAGGCAGUGGGUGGUUUGAGACUCUGCUCAACAGCCACCCCAAUGUGAGCUCAAAUGGUGAAAUCUUCUCGGUGAGGGAGCGCAGAGAGGAUAUUGCGUCGAUCUUGUGGACUCUUGACAAGCUGUAUGAUUUGGAUUGGCGCACCAGCGCAGCAAAAAAUGAAUGCACGGCUGCAUUUGGAUUGAAGUGGAUGCUAAAUCAGGGUCUUAUGGAUUAUCCAGAUGAGAUUGUGGAUUAUUUGAUCAAAAAGGGUGUGAUGGUGAUAUUUCUCUUCAGGAGGAAUACAUUAAGGAGGCUCGUCUCUGUGUUAGCGAACGACCAUGACAAAAAGGAGAAGCAGUUGAACGGCACCCACAAAGCGCAUGUGCACUCACAAGAGGAGGCUGAGAUCCUAGCGAGGUUCAAACCGGAGGUGGACGUGUCAUCUCUGAUCCCAAGCAUGAGAAGCGCGGAGCAGUCCAUGGACGCCUGCCUGCGCCGCUUCCGCGCCACGCGCCACAUGAUCCUCUACUACGAGGACUUAAUCCGCGACAACAAUGCGCUGUCUCGGGUGCAGGAGUUCCUGGGGCUCCCGGUGAGGAGGCUGUCCAGCAGGCACGUCAAGAUCCACACAAGCCCACUCCCGGACCUGGUGGACAACUGGGAGGACGUGAGACGCACGCUCAAGCCCACGGAGUUUGCUCGUUUCCUUGACGGCUGA